AUUGUUUUUUGCUGUUUGCUAAGGAGAACCACAGAAAUUUGUUCCACCUUCUGUUAGGUGGGAGAGGCAUGGUUUUUCCAGUGACUUAGGAGCCCCUCAUGCUGAUGUGUUAGGGUGACUGUUUUGAUUAUGUUGGAAUCACAGGCUAGAGCUGUCUCUUCACCCAGAUCUUCGGGGUCGGUGUGAGGACUGCUGACCGGUGGUACCGGGAAGGACUACGAACCUUGGAUGACCUCCGAGAGCAGCCCCAGAAACUAACCCAACAGCAGAAAGCGGGGCUCCAGCACCACCGGGACCUGAGCACCCCAGUCCUGCGGUCCGAUGUAGAUGCCCUGCAGCAGGCGGUGGAGGAAGCUGUGGGGCAGGUCCUGCCUGGGGCCACCGUCACGCUGACCGGCGGCUUCCGCAGGGCCAUGACGUGGACUUCCUCAUCAGCCACCCCAAGGAGGGUCAGGAGGCAGGGCUGCUGCCCAGAGUGAUGCGCUGCCU
This 489-nucleotide small RNA is filed under the name Pongo abelii (Sumatran orangutan). Its description in RNAcentral is "processed transcript". The record is from RNAcentral. Lineage: Eukaryota; Metazoa; Chordata; Mammalia; Primates; Hominidae.